This 450-nucleotide ribosomal RNA is filed under the name uncultured bacterium. Its description in RNAcentral is "partial 16S ribosomal RNA". It matches the Rfam family "Bacterial small subunit ribosomal RNA", at positions 354 to 796 of the family's 1533-position model. The record is from RNAcentral.
GUGGGGAAUAUUGGACAAUGGGCGAAAGCCUGAUCCAGCCAUGCCGCGUGUGUGAAGAAGGUCUUCGGAUUGUAAAGCACUUUAAGUUGGGAGGAAGGGCAGUAAGUUAAUACCUUGCUGUUUUGACGUUACCGACAGAAUAAGCACCGGCUAACUUCGUGCCAGCAGCCGCGGUAAUACGAAGGGUGCAAGCGUUAAUCGGAAUUACUGGGCGUAAAGCGCGCGUAGGUGGUUUUGUAAGUUGGAGGUGAAAUCCCCGGGCUCAACCUGGGAACUGCCUCCAAAAAUGCAUGACUAGAGUACGGUAGAGGGUAGUGGAAUUUCCUGUGUAGCGGUGAAAUGCGUAGAUAUAGGAAGGAACACCAGUGGCGAAGGCGACUACCUGGACUGAUACUGACACUGAGGUGCGAAAGCGUGGGGAGCAAACAGGAUUAGAUACCCCAGUAGUCC